CCUACGGGUGGCAGCAGUGGGGAAUAUUGGACAAUGGGCGAAAGCCUGAUCCAGCCAUGCCGCGUGUGUGAAGAAGGCCUUCGGGUUGUAAAGCACUUUCAGUGGGGAAGAAAGCCUUGGGGCUAAUACCCUCGAGGAAGGACAUCACCCACAGAAGAAGCACCGGCUAACUCCGUGCCAGCAGCCGCGGUAAUACGGAGGGUGCGAGCGUUAAUCGGAAUUACUGGGCGUAAAGCGCGCGUAGGCGGUCUGAUAAGCCGGUUGUGAAAGCCCCGGGCUCAACCUGGGAACGGCAUCCGGAACUGUCAGGCUAGAGUGCAGGAGAGGAAGGUAGAAUUCCCGGUGUAGCGGUGAAAUGCGUAGAGAUCGGGAGGAAUACCAGUGGCGAAGGCGGCCUUCUGGACUGACACUGACGCUGAGGUGCGAAAGCGUGAGUAGCAAACAGGAUUAGAUACCCCUGUAGUC
RNAcentral lists this ribosomal RNA (465 nucleotides) under Vreelandella stevensii. RNAcentral describes it as "partial 16S ribosomal RNA". It matches the Rfam family "Bacterial small subunit ribosomal RNA", at positions 338 to 795 of the family's 1533-position model. The record is from RNAcentral. Lineage: Bacteria; Pseudomonadati; Pseudomonadota; Gammaproteobacteria; Oceanospirillales; Halomonadaceae.